CUUUGAAGUCGGAAUCGCUAGUAAUCGCAGAUCAGCAUGUUGCGGUGAAUACGUUCCCGGGUCUUGUACACACCGCCCGUCAAACCAUGAGAGUCACCAACACCCGAAGUCCGCCUUGGCGGCCUAAGGUGGGGGAGAUGAUUGGGGUUAAGUCGUAACAAGGUAAC
This 167-nucleotide ribosomal RNA is filed under the name uncultured bacterium. RNAcentral describes it as "partial 16S ribosomal RNA". It matches the Rfam family "Bacterial small subunit ribosomal RNA", at positions 1318 to 1500 of the family's 1533-position model. The record is from RNAcentral.